RNAcentral lists this ribosomal RNA (254 nucleotides) under uncultured bacterium. RNAcentral describes it as "partial small subunit ribosomal RNA". It matches the Rfam family "Bacterial small subunit ribosomal RNA", at positions 26 to 285 of the family's 1533-position model. The record is from RNAcentral.
AGGACGAACGCUGGCGGCGUGCUUAACACAUGCAAGUCGAGCGGAAAGGCCCUUCGGGGUACUCGAGCGGCGAAUGGGUGAGUAACACGUGAGUAAUCUGCCCCUAGCUCUGGGAUAGCUCCGGGAAACCGGGAUUAAUACCAGAUACAACCACUUUAGACAUCUCUUGUGGUGGAAAGAAUUUCGGCUAGGGAUGAACUCGCGGCCUAUCAGCUUGUUGGUGAGGUAACGGCUCACCAAGGCGACGACGGGUA